GCGAACGGGUGAGUAACACGUGGGUAACCUGCCCUGUACUCUGGGAUAAGCCUGGGAAACUAGGUCUAAUACCGGAUAUGACCUGUCACUGCAUGGUGGUGGGUGGAAAGUUCCGGCGGUACAGGAUGGACCCGCGGCCUAUCAGCUUGUUGGUGGGGUAAUGGCCUACCAAGGCGACGACGGGUAGCCGGCCUGAGAGGGUGACCGGCCACACUGGGACUGAGACACGGCCCAGACUCCUACGGGAGGCAGCAGUGGGGAAUAUUGCACAAUGGGCGAAAGCCUGAUGCAGCGACGCCGCGUGAGGGAUGACGGCCUUCGGGUUGUAAACCUCUUUCAGCGGGGACGAAGGGCAACUGACGGUACCCGCAGAAGAAGCACCGGCUA
RNAcentral lists this ribosomal RNA (387 nucleotides) under bacterium gwi69. RNAcentral describes it as "bacterial SSU rRNA". It matches the Rfam family "Bacterial small subunit ribosomal RNA", at positions 98 to 499 of the family's 1533-position model. The record is from RNAcentral.